Molecule: ribosomal RNA, 1290 nt
Filed under: uncultured bacterium
Lineage: Bacteria
Description: bacterial SSU rRNA
Rfam family: Bacterial small subunit ribosomal RNA
Source: RNAcentral
GAUGAACGCUGGCGGCGUGCUUAACACAUGCAAGUCGAACGAACCUUCGGGUUAGUGGCGGACGGGUGAGUAACGCGUGAGAAUCUGCCCUCAGGAGGGGGAUAACGGUUGGAAACGACCGCUAAUACCCCAUAUGCCGAUAGGUGAAAUGAAUUUCGCCUGAGGAUGAGCUCGCGUCUGAUUAGCUUGUUGGUGAGGUAAUGGCUCACCAAGGCUUCGAUCAGUAGCUGGUCUGAGAGGAUGAUCAGCCACACUGGGACUGAGACACGGCCCAGACUCCUACGGGAGGCAGCAGUGGGGAAUUUUCCGCAAUGGGCGAAAGCCUGACGGAGCAACGCCGCGUGAGGGACGAAGGCCUCUGGGCUGUAAACCUCUUUUCUCAAGGAAGAAGAUAUGACGGUACUUGAGGAAUAAGCCACGGCUAAUUCCGUGCCAGCAGCCGCGGUAAUACGGGAGUGGCAAGCGUUAUCCGGAAUUAUUGGGCGUAAAGCGUCCGCAGGGGGCCUUUCAAGUCUGCUGUUAAAGCGUGGAGCUUAACUCCAUUAUGGCAGUGGAAACUGAUCGGCUUGAGUGUGGUAGGGGCAGAGGGAAUUCCCGGUGUAGCGGUGAAAUGCGUAGAUAUCGGGAAGAACACCAGUGGCGAAGGCGCUCUGCUGGGCCAUUACUGACGCUCAUGGACGAAAGCCAGGGGAGCGAAAGGGAUUAGAUACCCCUGUAGUCCUGGCCGUAAACGAUGAACACUAGGUGUCGGGGGAAUCGACCCCUUCGGUGUCGUAGCUAACGCGUUAAGUGUUCCGCCUGGGGAGUACGCACGCUAGUGUGAAACUCAAAGGAAUUGACGGGGGCCCGCACAGGCGGUGGAGUAUGUGGUUUAAUUCGAUGCAACGCGAAGAACCUUACCAGGGUUUGACAUCCUGAGAACCUCUUAGAAAUUUGAGGGUGCCUUCGGGAAUUCAGUGACAGGUGGUGCAUGGCUGUCGUCAGCUCGUGUCGUGAGAUGUUGGGUUAAGUCCCGCAACGAGCGCAACCCACGUUUUUAGUUGCCAGCAUUUAGUUGGGCACUCUAGAAAGACCGCCGGUGAUAAACCGGAGGAAGGUGUGGAUGACGUCAAGUCAUCAUGCCCCUUACACCCUGGGCUACACACGUACUACAAUGCUACGGACAAAGGGCAGCAAACUCGCGAGAGCUAGCAAAUCCCAUAAACCGUGGCUCAGUUCAGAUUGUAGGCUGCAACUCGCCUACGUGAAGUAGGAAUCGCUAGUAAUCGCAGGUCAGCAUACUGCGGUGAA